This is a long non-coding RNA of Pseudophryne corroboree (corroboree frog), 283 nucleotides long. RefSeq lists it as uncharacterized. The transcript is spliced from 3 exons. Lineage: Eukaryota; Metazoa; Chordata; Amphibia; Anura; Myobatrachidae. The record is from RefSeq and is a predicted model, not a curated record.
AAAGGAGCCACAAAAGAUUCUACGCCAACAAAACAUAGCACGCCACAAACGGAAACAACGCCAAAGAAGAAAACAAAAUCGCAGAAAGAUUCCACAGUUAAGGCAAAGAGAAGAGUUUCUUUUGGAUAUCCGACAACUGGAGGAGGUGCUGAGGAUACCGAAACCCAGAUACAGCAUACAAUAUUGCCGAUUGAUUCAACACUGCAAGCAGCGACACUUCAAGCAGAAUCAGCCCAGAUGCACCCACCCACGGUGCAGGAAGAAACAUCAUCCCAACAGCCAC